GAUGAACGCUGGCGGCAUGCCUAACACAUGCAAGUCGAGCGACAACAUGACGUGCUUGCCCCUCUUACUUUCGCGUGGCACGCGUGAGUGUCAUGCGGAUAACCUACCCUUAUGAUGGGGAAUACCUUGGCGAACGGUACCCUAUUACGGCUAAUUUUUUGAAGCGCAAAGUACGAGACUUACAGACCUUUCUCUUGUCACUUGGCGAAUGUCCGGUGUCGGAUUAGGUAGUUGGAAAGGUAACGGCUUACCAAGGCAACGAUCCGUAGCGGAUCUGAGAGGAUGAUCCGCCACACUGGGACUGAGACACGGCCCAGACUCCUACGGGAGGCAGCAGUGGGGAAUUUUGGACAAUGGGCGCAAGCCUGAUCCAGCCAUGCCGCGUGAGUGAAGAAGGCCUUCGGGUUGUAAAGCUCUUUCGGCUGGGAAGAAAUAGCACCCUCGAAUACAGGCUGUGGAUGACAGUACCAGCAUAAGAAGCACCGGCUAACUACGUG
Molecule: ribosomal RNA, 497 nt
Filed under: uncultured bacterium
Lineage: Bacteria
Description: partial 16S ribosomal RNA
Rfam family: Bacterial small subunit ribosomal RNA
Source: RNAcentral